Molecule: long non-coding RNA, 1077 nt
Organism: Hypanus sabinus (Atlantic stingray)
Lineage: Eukaryota; Metazoa; Chordata; Chondrichthyes; Myliobatiformes; Dasyatidae
Exons: 3
Source: RefSeq, a predicted model, not a curated record
CGCCGUACGUCAUAGCGGGGAGACGAGUUGUUGGGACUCGGGAGCAAUGCACACAAAUUGCUGGAGGGAUUCAGCGGUUCCUACUGGUCACUGAAAGCCUCCUGCAUUCAAUAGCCACAAGAUAAUUCCUCCGCACAGAGACUGAGACAUAGUAUAAAUCAUGGAGGAAUGCAGUGGACCUCUACCUAUCUAUCCAUCAUUACUAAUUAUCAGCAGAAAUAAUUCAAUAGUUCACUGCGCUGAACUACGUGAAAAGAAACGUGGCUCGAGGACAACAUCCCAUGCUCCAUCAAUCUUCAGGUCAUGGGUCAUGGGACUUGUGCUAACAUUAUUUUGUGGCUAUAUGUGCUAUUGUAACUAUAUGUGCUGUGUGUGACUGUAUGCACUGUGUUUUGCACCUUAGCCUCGGAGGAAUAUGUUUCCUGUAACUGUAUACAUGUGUAUGAUUGAAUGAUAAUUAAACUUGAACUUGAAACCUUUGGGUGCCCUUGGAUUGUAAACAAAAUUCCAAAUACCUAGGAUCUAGAAGUAUUGUGUGUAGCCAGCAGAAUGUCACAGUGAUUCACCAGCGCCAUCUUGGUGUGGUCUUUAUUUGAUUGUAUUAUUGAUAUUAUUUUAUUAUGCAAGAAAAUGAAUAUCAGGGUUGUGUAUAGUGGCAUAUAUGUACUUUGAUAAUUUACUUUGAAACAGCCUCAGAGAACAGGGGUUAUCUUCAUGCAUAACAUGGCUGGUAAUGAUGUACAGUACCAGAGAUCCAAAGAUGAAGAGAAUAAAUAAGUUUAAUCUCUGCUCUGUGUGGCUAAUAUUGGUUCUGCUCUAUACUACUCAAGUCUUUUUAAAAUUGCAACUUUCUUAAGUGAUUAAAAACUAUUCACUCACACUUAUAGAACUGUAAUGUUUGUUCAUGUUAUGCAGGAUAACAUUUUUUAUAUAUUCACAAUGGUUUUCUGUUAAUUCAAGAUCUGAAACUAAUUAAUUUUCCAUAAUGAAUCAUACUUCAUAUAUAAUUUGAUAACAACCUUGAAAUUUGAUCUUCCAAUCAAGUAGAUUGUUUCUCUGUAACAGUUUUAUUGCCCU